Molecule: unclassified non-coding RNA, 1456 nt
Filed under: Hevea brasiliensis (rubber tree)
Lineage: Eukaryota; Viridiplantae; Streptophyta; Magnoliopsida; Malpighiales; Euphorbiaceae
Source: RNAcentral
GUUUAAUACAAGCAACCCUGAAAAUCGCCUAUAUAAAGUGUAUAAAAAUUUAGUCUUUGCCUCAUCAAAGAAAAUUCAUCUUAUAGAGAAUUUUAAUUUAAGAAGUUUAUCAUCAUCAUGUCUCUGCUUUCAGAUCUUAUCAACCUCAAUCUCUCAGGUGAUACUCAGAAGAUCAUUGCUGAAUACAUAUGGAUUGGUGGAUCAGGCAUGGACAUGAGGAGCAAAGCCAGGACUCUCCCUGGUCCAGUUACUAGUCCUGCAGAACUACCCAAAUGGAACUACGAUGGAUCGAGCACUGGUCAAGCUCCCGGAGAAGACAGUGAAGUGAUCUUAUAUCCACAAGCAAUCUUCAAGGACCCAUUCAGAAGAGGCAACAACAUCUUGGUCAUGUGUGAUGCCUAUACUCCUGCUGGUGAGCCCAUCCCAACAAACAAGAGGCACGCCGCCGCCAAGGUCUUCAGCCACCCUGAUGUGGCUGCUGAGGAAACUUGGUAUGGUAUUGAACAAGAAUAUACCUUGCUGCAAAGGGAGGUCAACUGGCCUCUUGGAUGGCCCAUUGGCGGUUUUCCUGGCCCCCAGGGACCAUACUACUGUGGAACCGGAGCUGACAAGGCCUUUGGACGUGACAUUGUUGACGCCCAUUACAAGGCUUGUCUCUAUGCUGGGAUUAACAUCAGCGGGAUCAAUGGUGAAGUCAUGCCGGGACAGUGGGAAUUUCAAGUUGGACCUUCUGUUGGCAUCUCAGCUGGUGAUGAAGUGUGGGUAGCUCGUUACAUUCUAGAGAGGAUUGCAGAGAUUGCUGGGGUGGUCGUGUCAUUCGACCCCAAGCCUAUUCCGGGCGACUGGAAUGGUGCAGGUGCUCACACAAAUUACAGCACCAAGUCGAUGAGGGAAGACGGAGGCUAUGAAAUAAUCUUAAAGGCUAUUGAGAAGCUUGGCUUGAAGCACAAAGAACACAUAGCUGCAUAUGGUGAAGGCAACGAGCGUCGUCUCACUGGAAAGCACGAAACAGCCAACAUCAACACAUUCAAAUGGGGGGUUGCAAACCGUGGUGCAUCUGUCCGUGUUGGAAGAGACACAGAGAAGGCAGGCAAGGGAUACUUUGAGGACAGAAGGCCAGCCUCAAAUAUGGACCCAUACGUCGUUACCUCCAUGAUUGCAGAAACCACCAUCAUCGGUUAACCUUGAAGACUUGAUAGUAUGAAUUUGCUCGAGGGAUCGCUUGUUUCUGGUUUGCACAAUUUGGGAUAGGAGAAAAGAUUGAAUUGUGGAACGACCCUUUGGACUUCACCUGUGUUAUUUAGUUAUAGGGAUAGUUUGUCUCUGGUUAUUUUUCUGUUUAUUUGCCCCAGUUGAAUUGUAUUUUCAUACAGCAAAGCCUUAUUUCAUUGCCUAUGAUUUGGCAAUGCUGUGUUACAAAUGUUAUUCUUAUUAAUAACAAAGAUAUUGAAAGGGU